AAGUCGUAACAAGGUUUCCGUAGGUGAACCUGCGGAAGGAUCAUUAACGAGUUUUGAAACGAGUUGUAGCUGGCCUUCCCGAGGCAUGUGCACGCUCUGCUCAUCCACUCUACCCCUGUGCACUUACUGUAGGUUGGCGUGGGCUCCUUAACGGGAGCAUUCUGCCGGCCUAUGUAUACUACAAACACUUUAAAGUAUCAGAAUGUAAACGCGUCUAACGCAUCUAUAAUACAA
This 234-nucleotide unclassified non-coding RNA is filed under the name plant metagenome. RNAcentral describes it as "partial contains small subunit ribosomal RNA and internal transcribed spacer 1". The stretch from base 1 to 46 matches the Rfam family "Eukaryotic small subunit ribosomal RNA", at positions 1786 to 1831 of the family's 1831-position model. The record is from RNAcentral.